UAAGCAGCUACACCAUGGACUUGGUGCCAAGCUGCGUUUUCCUCCUGAUCAUUUCUCAAGGUGUCCAGUGUGAGGUGCAGCUGGUGGAGUCUGGGGGAGGCUUGGUGCAGCCUGGGGGGUCUCUGAGACUCUCCUGUGCAGCCUCUGGAUUCACCUUCAGUAGCUAUGGGAUGAACUGGGUCCGCCAGGCUCCAGGAAAGGGGCUUGAGUGGGUCUCACGCAUUGGUAGUGAUGGUAGUAGUUACAUAUACUACGCCGAUUCUGUGAAGGGCCGCUUCACCAUUUCCAGAGACAAUGCCAAGAACACGCUGUAUCUGCAAAUGAGCAGCCUGAGAUCUGAGGACACCGCUUUGUAUUACUGUGCAAGAUACACAUUGAGGUGA
Molecule: non-coding RNA, 383 nt
Organism: Myotis davidii
Lineage: Eukaryota; Metazoa; Chordata; Mammalia; Chiroptera; Vespertilionidae
Source: the annotation of a RefSeq genome assembly